UUAGAAGCAGCCACCCUUUAAAGAAAGCGUAAUAGCUCACUAGUCGAGUCGGCCUGCGCGGAAGAUGUAACGGGGCUAAAACUAUGUGCCGAAGCUGCGGAUUUGACAUUAGUCAAGUGGUAGGGGAGCGUUCUGUAAGCCGAUGAAGGUGUAUUGAGAAGUAUGCUGGAGGUAUCAGAAGUGCGAAUGCUGACGUGAGUAACGACAAAACGGGUGAAAAACCCGUUCGCCGAAAGACCAAGGGUUCCAGUCCAACGUUAAUCG
RNAcentral lists this ribosomal RNA (264 nucleotides) under Acinetobacter baumannii. RNAcentral's name for it is "partial 23S ribosomal RNA". It matches the Rfam family "Bacterial large subunit ribosomal RNA", at positions 1106 to 1371 of the family's 2925-position model. The record is from RNAcentral. Lineage: Bacteria; Pseudomonadati; Pseudomonadota; Gammaproteobacteria; Moraxellales; Moraxellaceae.